RNAcentral lists this ribosomal RNA (253 nucleotides) under uncultured bacterium. RNAcentral's name for it is "partial 16S ribosomal RNA". It matches the Rfam family "Bacterial small subunit ribosomal RNA", at positions 524 to 776 of the family's 1533-position model. The record is from RNAcentral.
UACGAAGGGUGCAAACGUUGCUCGGAAUCAUUGGGCGUAAAGCGCACGUAGGCGGCUCUGCAAGUCGGAUGUGAAAUCCCUCGGCUCAACCGAGGACGUGCAUCCGAAACUGCGGAGCUUGAGUAUGGAAGAGGGUCGCGGAAUCCCCGGUGUAGAGGUGAAAUUCGUAGAUAUCGGGGGGAACACCAGUGGCGAAGGCGGCGACCUGGGCCAAUACUGACGCUGAGGUGCGAAAGCGUGGGGAGCGAACCGG